Molecule: ribosomal RNA, 258 nt
Filed under: Triticum aestivum (bread wheat)
Lineage: Eukaryota; Viridiplantae; Streptophyta; Magnoliopsida; Poales; Poaceae
Description: partial small subunit ribosomal RNA
Source: RNAcentral
AUGUGCUGCUGUUGCGGCGGCGGCGACCGCGAGCACGAGCACGGCUGUCGGCCGCUCGGGUUCCUGCUCGGCCUGCCCUUCGCGCUCCUCGCCGUCCUCGUCUCCAUCGUCGGCGCCAUCAUCUGGAUCAUCGGGCUGCCCAUCUCGUGCAUCUGCCCGUGCUGCCUGUGCGUGACGCUGCUGCUGGAGGCGGCGGUGGAGCUCGUCAAGGCGCCGCUCCACGUCAUGACGUGGUUCACCUCCAAGAUACCCUGCUGA